GGUAGUAAAAGUCGUAACAAGGUUUCCGUAGGUGAACCUGCGGAAGGAUCAUUAUUGUAUAACCGAGGUGCGAGGGCUGUCGCUGACCCGAAAGGUCGUGCACGCCCGAGUGCCCUCACACACAUCCAUCUCACCCCUAUGUGCACCACCUCGUGGGUCCCCCUUUGGCUUGUUCGGAGGGGGGCUUACGUUUUCACACAAACUUUGUAUGCAGUGUAGAAUGUAUUUUUUGUUUUUGCGAUCACGCAAUCAAUACAACUUUCAACAACGGAUCUCUUGGCUCUC
This 285-nucleotide unclassified non-coding RNA is filed under the name plant metagenome. Its description in RNAcentral is "partial contains small subunit ribosomal RNA, internal transcribed spacer 1, and 5.8S ribosomal RNA". The stretch from base 1 to 54 matches the Rfam family "Eukaryotic small subunit ribosomal RNA", at positions 1778 to 1831 of the family's 1831-position model. The record is from RNAcentral.